UGAAAACAUUGUUCCAAACAGACCCUAAAAGGUUUGUGGAAGUCAUCUGCAUCAAUUUGUCUUGUAGUCAUUAAAUCCCUUGGUGUAUAGAAGCUAUUUUAAGUUGGCCUUGUGGCAUUCCAACAUCUACUUUACAACAUAACAUUCAUUCUCAAUAGAUGAAGCUGAUAUGGAAAUAGUUGUUUGUCUUUGGAGUGCAGAUCACCUUAUGUUUUUAUUCAUACUUGUAUAAUAAGCCAGUCGUCUAUGGUGAUCAACUGCAUAUUUGAGAAAAGAUGCUUCUAGCUUUCGUUUCUUUGAAAUGUAGUGUAUUUUAUGGGUAAAUUUGAGUGGGUAAAUGAUUAUUCAUUUUCUUAUAAGAUUUUUUUUAUUUUGAUUUAGG
RNAcentral lists this unclassified non-coding RNA (382 nucleotides) under Hevea brasiliensis (rubber tree). The record is from RNAcentral. Lineage: Eukaryota; Viridiplantae; Streptophyta; Magnoliopsida; Malpighiales; Euphorbiaceae.